This 275-nucleotide ribosomal RNA is filed under the name Alphaproteobacteria bacterium. Its description in RNAcentral is "partial 16S ribosomal RNA". It matches the Rfam family "Bacterial small subunit ribosomal RNA", at positions 1 to 288 of the family's 1533-position model. Lineage: Bacteria; Pseudomonadati; Pseudomonadota; Alphaproteobacteria. The record is from RNAcentral.
AAACUUGAGAGUUUGAUCCUGGCUCAGAACGAACGCUGGCGGCAGGUCUUAGGCAUGCAAGUCGAACGGGUGAAGCAGGGGCUUGCCCUUGUGGAUCUAGUGGCGCACGAGUGAGUAACGCGUGGGAAACUGCCCAUCACUGGGGAAUAACGUUUGGAAACGAACGCUAAUACCGCAUACGCCGGAAACGGGAAAGAUUUAUCGGUGAUGGAUGUGCCCGCGUUGGAUUAGCUUGUUGGUGGGGUAAUGGCCUACCAAGGCGAUGAUCCAUAGCU